GGCAAGACGGAAAGACCCCGUGAACCUUUACUAUAGCUUGACACUGAACAUUGAGCCUUGAUGUGUAGGAUAGGUGGGAGGCUUAGAAGUGUGGACGCCAGUCUGCAUGGAGCCGACCUUGAAAUACCACCCUUUAAUGUUUGAUGUUCUAACGUUGACCCGUAAUCCGGGUUGCGGACAGUGUCUGGUGGGUAGUUUGACUGGGGCGGUCUCCUCCUAAAGAGUAACGGAGGAGCACGAAGGUUGGCUAAUCCUGGUCGGACAUCAGGAGGUUAGUGCAAUGGCAUAAGCCAGCUUGACUGCGAGCGUGACGGCGCGAGCAGGUGCGAAAGCAGGUCAUAGUGAUCCGGUGGUUCUGAAUGGAAGGGCCAUCGCUCAACGGAUAAAAGGUACUCCGGGGAUAACAGGCUGAUACCGCCCAAGAGUUCAUAUCGACGGCGGUGUUUGGCACCUCGAUGUCGGCUCAUCACAUCCUGGGGCUGAAGUAGGUCCCAAGGGUAUGGCUGUUCGCCAUUUAAAGUGGUACGCGAGCUGGGUUUAGAACGUCGUGAGACAGUUCGGUCCCUAUCUGCCGUGGGCGCUGGAGAACUGAGGGGGGCUGCUCCUAGUACGAGAGGACCGGAGUGGACGCAUCACUGGUGUUCGGGUUGUCAUGCCAAUGGCACUGCCCGGUAGCUAAAUGCGGAAGAGAUAAGUGCUGAAAGCAUCUAAGCACGAAACUUGCC
RNAcentral lists this ribosomal RNA (725 nucleotides) under Escherichia coli. RNAcentral describes it as "partial 23S ribosomal RNA". It matches the Rfam family "Bacterial large subunit ribosomal RNA", at positions 2074 to 2798 of the family's 2925-position model. Lineage: Bacteria; Pseudomonadati; Pseudomonadota; Gammaproteobacteria; Enterobacterales; Enterobacteriaceae. The record is from RNAcentral.